Molecule: ribosomal RNA, 97 nt
Filed under: Helianthemum cinereum subsp. rotundifolium
Lineage: Eukaryota; Viridiplantae; Streptophyta; Magnoliopsida; Malvales; Cistaceae
Description: partial 5.8S ribosomal RNA
Rfam family: 5.8S ribosomal RNA
About the family: 5.8S ribosomal RNA (5.8S rRNA) is a component of the large subunit of the eukaryotic ribosome. It is transcribed by RNA polymerase I as part of the 45S precursor that also contains 18S and 28S rRNA.
Source: RNAcentral
GGUGUGAAUUGCAGAAUCCCGUGAACCAUCGAGUCUUUGAACGCAAGUUGCGCCCCAAGCCGUCAGGCCGAGGGCACGCCUGCCUGGGCGUCACGCA